UACGUAGGUGGCAAGCGUUGUCCGGAUUUACUGGGCGUAAAGGAUGCGUAGGCGGAUAUUUAAGUCAGAUGUGAAAUACCCGAGCUUAACUUGGGUGCUGCAUUUGAAACUGGAUAUCUAGAGUGUGGGAGAGGAAAGUGGAAUUCCUAGUGUAGCGGUGAAAUGCGUAGAGAUUAGGAAGAACACCAGUGGCGAAGGCGACUUUCUGGACCAUAACUGACGCUGAGGCAUGAAAGCGUGGGGAGCAAACAGGAUUAGAUACCCUGGUAGUCCACGCCGUAAACGAUGGGUACUAGGUGUAGGGGGUAUCGACUCCCUCUGUGCCGCAGUUAACACAAUAAGUACCCCGCCUGGGGAGUACGGUCGCAAGAUUAAA
RNAcentral lists this ribosomal RNA (376 nucleotides) under uncultured bacterium. RNAcentral's name for it is "bacterial SSU rRNA". It matches the Rfam family "Bacterial small subunit ribosomal RNA", at positions 524 to 898 of the family's 1533-position model. The record is from RNAcentral.